RNAcentral lists this ribosomal RNA (2294 nucleotides) under gut metagenome. Its description in RNAcentral is "bacterial LSU rRNA". It matches the Rfam family "Bacterial large subunit ribosomal RNA", at positions 545 to 2925 of the family's 2925-position model. The record is from RNAcentral.
AGAACCUGAAACCCUGUGCCUACAAGCACCUAGAGCACGUCAAUGUGUGAUAGGGUACUUUUUGUAGAACGGUCCGGCGAGCGAUUGUAUGCAGCAAGGUUAAGGACUUAAGGUCUGGAGCCGAAGCGAAAGCGAGUUUGAAAAGGGCGUUAAGUUGCAUACAAUGGGCCCGAAACCGGGUGACCUACCCAUGGUCAGGUUGAAGUGGAAGUAAAAUUCCAUGGAGGACCGAACCGACCUCCGUUGAAAAGGCGGCGGAUGAACUGUGGGUAGCGGAGAAAUUCCAAUCGAACCCGGAGAUAGCUGGUUCUCCCCGAAAUAGUUUUAGGACUAGCCUCAAGUUAGAUACCUGGAGGUAAAGCACUGAAUAGCCUAGCGGCCGAGAGGUUAGCGAAGCUUAUCAAACUCAGAAUGCCAGAGUAUUGAUGCUUGGGAGUCAGACAGUGUCAGAUAAAUGUCAUUGUCAAAAGGGAAACAGCCCAGAUCUACAGCUAAGGUCCCAAAGUCAGGUUAAGUGGAAAACGAUGUGAAGAUACGUAGACAACCAGGAUGUUGGCUCAGAAGCAGCCACACAUUCAAAGAGUGCGUAAUAGCUCACUGGUCGAGCGUCUUUGCGCGGAGAAUUUAACGGGGCUAAACCUGACACCGAAGCUUAGGCAAUACAGCAAUGUAUUGGGUAGGGGAGCGUUGUAUACGCGGUGAAACAGUAGCGCAAGCGGCUGUGGAGUGUAUAGAAGUGAGAAUGCCGGAAUGAGUAGCGCGAAUGCAGUGAGAAUCUGCAUGGCCGAAAGCCUCAGGUUUCUGGAGGAAGGUUCGUCCGCUCCAGGUUAGUCGGGAGCUAAGGUGAGGCCUAACGGCGUAGCCGAUGCACAGACGGUAGAGAUUCCGUCACCACCAAAAGAGUUAAACACAGGGACACAUUUGAAGUCUCGGAGCCGGGUGUUGGUUCCGGUAGCGAUCGAGGGAAGUUAGUACCGAAGUCCGGGAUGGAAGAUGGCGAGAAAAGCUGUGUGUAUUUCUGCGGUGCCCGUACCGCAAACCGACACAGGUAGGUAGGAAGAAGAUUCUAAGGCCAACGGGAGAAGGGUUGUUAAGGAACUCGGCAAAUUGACCCCGUAACUUCGGGAGAAGGGGUGCUCUAGAGAUAGAGCCGCAGAGAAUCGGCCCAAGCAACUGUUUACCAAAAACACAGGUUUGUGCUAAAUCGAAAGAUGACGUAUACGAGCUGACGCCUGCCCGGUGCUGGAAGGUUAAGAGGAGAUGUGCAAGCAUUGAAUCGAAGCCCCAGUGAACGGCGGCCGUAACUAUAACGGUCCUAAGGUAGCGAAAUUCCUUGUCAGGUAAGUUCUGACCCGCAUGAAAGGCGUAAUGAUUUGGGCACUGUCUCGACAGCCCGCCCGGCGAAAUUGUAGUACCGGUGAAGAUGCCGGUUACCCGCGACAAGACGGAAAGACCCCAUGGAGCUUUACUGUAGCCUAAUAUUGGGUUUCGAUGUUGCAUGCACAGGAUAGAUGGGACACAGGGAAACAAGUGCUUUGGCAUUUGUGGAGUGGCCGUUGGGAUACCAUCCUUGCGAUAUUGGAAUUCUAACCUGCGCCUUUGAAUCAAGGCGGGGGACAUUGUUAGGUGGGCAGUUUGACUGGGGCGGUCGCCUCCUAAAGAGUAACGGAGGCGUUCAAAGGUUCGCUCAGCUUGAACGGAAAUCAAGCAAAAGAGUGCAAACGCAGAAGCGAGCCUAACUGCGAGACUGACGGGUCGAGCAGUAACGAAAGUUGGAGUUAGUGAUCCGGUGGUAUGUGAGUGGAAAUGCCAUCGCUCAACGGAUAAAAGUUACCCUGGGGAUAACAGGCUGAUCUCCCCCAAGAGUCCACAUCGACGGGGAGGUUUGGCACCUCGAUGUCGGCUCAUCGCAUCCUGGGGCUGUAUUCGGUCCCAAGGGUUUGGCUGUUCGCCAAUUAAAGCGGUACGCGAGCUGGGUUCAGAACGUCGUGAGACAGUUCGGUCCCUAUCUGUCGUGGGCGCAGGAUAUUUGAUGGGAGCUGUUCCUAGUACGAGAGGACCGGAGCGGACGUACCUCUGGCGCACCAGUUGUUCUGCCAAGGGCAUAGCUGGGCAACUAUGUACGGAUCGGAUAAACGCUGAAAGCAUCUAAGCGUGAAGCCGACCCAAAGAUAAGAUAUCCCAUUGUUUCAAACAAGUAAGACCCCUUGAAGACUACAAGGUUGAUAGGCACGAUGUGUAAGUGGAGUGAUCCAUUCAGCAAGCGUGUACUAAUAGGUCGAGGGCUUGACCAC